CUGACGGGCGGAUAUGUGGAAUCCAUUCCGUGUUUUCCAGCUAACUUACUGUGCUAACUGAGAUAUUCAAUUAAGGAUUCCUCUUCCCACAGAAGCGGUUCUCCAGGGCAGAUCUUCCGAGCGACCCGCCCUAUGUUAGAAAUAGGAAAAUCCAAUAAUAACAACACUCCAAAAAGAAAAAGAAAAAAAAAGAGGCAACUUUGAUCACUCAUGCUCCCUUGUCAUCCACCUUAUAACCAACAUUUGUUCUAACUUGGAAAGUCGCGGGAAAGCCAGGAAGUUACGUUACAGUAAGCCAAUCAGUUUAGGGGAAGCAUCUCAUGUUUAAAAUGGCUGUGAUAUCCAAGAGAAGGCGUCAACAGACAGCUAUGUAAGAGUCUAGUGUGAACGUGCAAGCUAACUUUUGGCAAGAAGACAGUGACCCACAGGACCGAGUCAAAACUGGAGCACUCAAUAUAUCUUGAAGG
This is a long non-coding RNA of Sinocyclocheilus rhinocerous, 467 nucleotides long. RefSeq lists it as uncharacterized. The record is from RefSeq and is a predicted model, not a curated record. The transcript is spliced from 3 exons. Lineage: Eukaryota; Metazoa; Chordata; Actinopteri; Cypriniformes; Cyprinidae.